GACGAACGCUGGCGGCGUGCUUAACACAUGCAAGUCGUACGGUAAGGCCCUUUCGGGGGUACACGAGUGGCGAACGGGUGAGUAACACGUGAGUAACCUGCCCACAACUAUGGGAUAACGCUAGGAAACUGGUGCUAAUACUGGAUAUGUGCUCCUGCUGCAUGGUGGGGGUUGGAAAGCUCCGGCCGUUGUGGAUGGACUCGCGGCCUAUCAGCUUGCUGGUGGGGCAAUGGCCUACCAAGGCGGCGACGGAUAGCCGACCUGAGAGGGGGACCGGCCACACGGGAACUGAGAGACGGUACAGACUCAGACGGGAGGCAGCAGGAGGGAAUCGUCCGAAAUGGGCGAGAGCCUGACGGAGCAACGCCGCGUGAGUGAUGAAGGUCUUCGGAGCGUAAAACUCUGUUAUUAGGGAAGAACAUAUGGGUAAGUAACUGUGCACAUCUUGACGGUACCUAAUCAGAAAGCCACGGCUAACUACGUG
RNAcentral lists this ribosomal RNA (484 nucleotides) under uncultured bacterium. RNAcentral's name for it is "partial 16S ribosomal RNA". It matches the Rfam family "Bacterial small subunit ribosomal RNA", at positions 28 to 507 of the family's 1533-position model. The record is from RNAcentral.